AAAUUCUCAAAGCCGUCCACCCAGGAUGAUUCGUUAAGGUUGUUUUGCCAAGUUUCCAAAAUGCUCCACAUUAUCAGUUUCACAGUGAUUGAGGUUCCCUGCCACGUAUACUAUCAUAACAUAGCAGUCAACUACUUACGAUGGAUAUUGGUGGAGGAUUCAUGGCAAAGGCAACCCUAUCACUAAUAGGUCAAGUCAUAGCUAGCAUAAGUACGAGUAAUAACCCUAUCAAUGCAUUCUAAUAAGCAACACUAAUGCAUAAGUAUUUUUAAAAAAACAACAGUAAUAGAAUAAUGAUCAAAGUGAACUUGCCUUAGUAGCAGUUGGAGUUCAAACACUCGUCACAAUCGCAUGGUUCGCUCUCCGAGUAAACUAAAAUAAACAAGCAUACACACACAUAAACACACAAUUCACAUCACGACAAAAGAAAGUAUGCUAUGAUGCAAUGCAAGCAUGUGACAUGAUUUGAUUUAUUUUAUUUGACGAGGAAGGGUUCAGUUUCUUAGGCAUACAACAAUUGAUCUCUGGUCAAAAGGAUUAAACAAAAUAAACCAAAAAGAAAAAGCUAAAAACAGGGUUUUCAAAUUAAGGCUUAAAACAAGGCUUUAAAAGAAGCAGCCAAAAGAUUUAAUCAAAAAUUUAUUUCUCUGUUCCAAAUGAACAGAGGAUAUUAAAAAAAAAAUUUGGGCACUGGUUCCAAGUUAAAUGAUUUUUAAAACAAAAGAUAUGAAUUAAAUGGCAUUAAACACCAUUCUAUAAAUAGCUCCAGAAACAAUUUAUCAAAUUUGAAUUUAAACAGUGCCAAAAGAUUCUACAGGUUGAGAGCUUUCCAGAAAGGUAAAAUUCCUCAAAUUUGGUCAAGUGGUUUAAAAGAUAUAAACAUUUGAAGUUCUAGGGGUUUUUCUGUAAAACUGCCAUUUAAUCAAACCGGGAAUUAAAUUUUAAUUUUUAGACUAUGCCACGUGUCGUGUUUCUAUUGGCGCGUACUGGUUCGGGUGAAGGAUUUAAUCCAGGCCAUC
This 1019-nucleotide long non-coding RNA is filed under the name Brachypodium distachyon (stiff brome). RNAcentral describes it as "long non-coding RNA (BDIS_LNC003199)". Lineage: Eukaryota; Viridiplantae; Streptophyta; Magnoliopsida; Poales; Poaceae. The record is from RNAcentral.